RNAcentral lists this ribosomal RNA (497 nucleotides) under uncultured bacterium. Its description in RNAcentral is "partial 16S ribosomal RNA". It matches the Rfam family "Bacterial small subunit ribosomal RNA", at positions 28 to 507 of the family's 1533-position model. The record is from RNAcentral.
GAUGAACGCUGGCGGCGUGCCUAAUACAUGCAAGUCGAGCGAACAGACGAGGAGCUUGCUCCUCUGACGUUAGCGGCGGACGGGUGAGUAACACGUGGAUAACCUACCUAUAAGACUGGGAUAACUUCGGGAAACCGGAGCUAAUACCGGAUAAUAUAUUGAACCGCAUGGUUCAAUAGUGAAAGACGGUUUUGCUGUCACUUAUAGAUGGAUCCGCGCCGCAUUAGCUAGUUGGUAAGGUAACGGCUUACCAGGGCGACGAUGCGUAGCCGACCUGAGAGGGUGAUCGGCCACACUGGAACUGAGACACGGUCCAGACUCCUACGGGAGGCAGCAGUAGGGAAUCUUCCGCAAUGGGCGAAAGCCUGACGGAGCAACGCCGCGUGAGUGAUGAAGGUCUUCGGAUCGUAAAACCCUGUUAUUAGGGAAGAACAAAUGUGUAAGUAACUACGCACGUCUUGACGGUACCUAAUCAGAAAGCCACGGCUAACUACGUG